ACAGGCUUAACACAUGCAAGUCGAGGGGGAAACGAUAUUGGAAGCUUGCUUCUGAUAGGCGUCGACCGGCGCACGGGUGAGUAACGCGUAUCCAACCUGCCCAUCACUUGGGGAUAACCUUGCGAAAGUAAGACUAAUACCCAAUGACGUCUCUAGAAGACAUCUGAAAGAGAUUUAAAGAUUUAUCGGUGAUGGAUGGGGAUGCGUCUGAUUAGCUUGUUGGCGGGGUAACGGCCCACCAAGGCGACGAUCAGUAGGGGUUCUGAGAGGAAGGUCCCCCACAUUGGAACUGAGACACGGUCCAAACUCCUACGGGAGGCAGCAGUGAGGAAUAUUGGUCAAUGGACGAGAGUCUGAACCAGCCAAGUAGCGUGCAGGAUGACGGCCCUAUGGGUUGUAAACUGCUUUUAUAAGGGAAUAAAGUGGGAGUCGUGACUCUUUUUGCAUGUACCUUAUGAAUAAGGACCGGCUAAUUCCGUG
RNAcentral lists this ribosomal RNA (480 nucleotides) under uncultured bacterium. RNAcentral's name for it is "bacterial SSU rRNA". It matches the Rfam family "Bacterial small subunit ribosomal RNA", at positions 42 to 507 of the family's 1533-position model. The record is from RNAcentral.